UUGGAGGGCAAGUCUGGUGCCAGCAGCCGCGGUAAUUCCAGCUCCAAUAGCGUAUAUUAAAGUUGUUGCAGUUAAAAAGCUCGUAGUUGAAUUUCGGGAUUAGUACGUUGGUCGUGCCUUAGGUACGUACUGGUGUUACUGGUUCCUACCUUCUGACGAACCAUCAUGUCAUUAAUUUGGUGUGGUGGGGAAUCAGGACUGUUACUUUGAAAAAUUAGAGUGUUUAAAGCAGGCUCGCGCUUGGAUACAUUAGCAUGGAAUAAUGAAAUAGGACGUUGAUCCUAUUUUGUUGGUUUCUAGGAUUGACGUAAUGAUUAAUAGGGAUAGUUGGGGGCAUUAGUAUUCAAUUGUCAGAGGUGAAAUUCUUGGAUUUAUUGAAGACUAACUACUGCGAAAGCAUUUGCCAAGGAUGUUUUCAUUAAUCAAGAACGAAAGUUAGGGGAUCGAAGACGAUCAGAUACCGUCGUAGUCUUAACCAUAAACUAUGCCGACUAGGGAUCGGAUGAUGUUAAUUUUUUAAUGACUCAUUCGGCGCCUUACGGGAAAC
RNAcentral lists this ribosomal RNA (547 nucleotides) under uncultured Glomus. RNAcentral describes it as "SSU rRNA". It matches the Rfam family "Eukaryotic small subunit ribosomal RNA", at positions 548 to 1098 of the family's 1831-position model. Lineage: Eukaryota; Fungi; Glomeromycota; Glomeromycetes; Glomerales; Glomeraceae. The record is from RNAcentral.